RNAcentral lists this ribosomal RNA (122 nucleotides) under Paramormyrops kingsleyae. Lineage: Eukaryota; Metazoa; Chordata; Actinopteri; Osteoglossiformes; Mormyridae. The record is from RNAcentral.
UUAUGCACCAUUAGCAGCCAUAAUGCCUGCAGCUCAGACUAGGUAACCAGAAGCUACGCAGGUUAGGGCCUGGCCAGUACUUGGAGGGGAGACCAACUAGGAAAGCUGGGUUGGUGCUAGAA